AUUGAACGCUGGCGGCAUGCCUUACACAUGCAAGUCGAACGGCAGCACGGGAGCAAUCCUGGUGGCGAGUGGCGAACGGGUGAGUAAUAUAUCGGAACGUGCCCAGUCGUGGGGGAUAACGUAGCGAAAGCUACGCUAAUACCGCAUACGAUCUGUGGAUGAAAGCGGGGGAUCGCAAGACCUCGCGCGAUUGGAGCGGCCGAUAUCAGAUUAGGUUGUUGGUGGGGUAAAAGCCCACCAAGCCGACGAUCUGUAGCUGGUCUGAGAGGACGACCAGCCACACUGGGACUGAGACACGGCCCAGACUCCUACGGGAGGCAGCAGUGGGGAAUUUUGGACAAUGGGCGCAAGCCUGAUCCAGCAAUGCCGCGUGCAGGAUGAAGGCCUCGGUUGUAACU
RNAcentral lists this ribosomal RNA (398 nucleotides) under uncultured bacterium. RNAcentral describes it as "bacterial SSU rRNA". It matches the Rfam family "Bacterial small subunit ribosomal RNA", at positions 30 to 431 of the family's 1533-position model. The record is from RNAcentral.